Molecule: long non-coding RNA, 1115 nt
Organism: Musa acuminata AAA Group (dessert banana)
Lineage: Eukaryota; Viridiplantae; Streptophyta; Magnoliopsida; Zingiberales; Musaceae
Exons: 2
Source: RefSeq, a predicted model, not a curated record
UUGAACACUUCUCAAGCCAAAUGAAAUGUUUAUUCUAGAGUCAAUUAAGAUAGAAAUCUAGAAAUUUGGGUUGGUGAUCAUUAAAGCUUGUCAAAGUAAAUGAUGGUUUAAGGCAGGAAGAUUCAGCUAAUGUGGCUGUUAAAUUUAAUCUGACCAUUUCAUUAAAUUAAGAUCAUUAGCAUGCUUUUAUGCAGUAAGAUGGGAUGUCAUGACAGACAUAUACAGCCUACACAAGGCAAUCGAGUAUAUAUAAUGUUUGAGCAAAUGCUUUAGACCUUAAACUUCUUAGCCAUACUAAAUCUGAUUAAAGAGCAUUGGAUUGACACCAUUUAGGAAGAUUGUGGUAGGCAGACUUUUUCUUUGAGAUGUCUUAUAUGGGUAGAAACCAUUAGAGGACUACUACUUUCUUUCAUGGCAUCCAUAGUUUAUAAUCAUUGUAUAUUGCUCAGUCGGAAUGGAUAGCUGACAAAUCUAACUCCCUCUCUCAGCAAGGAAGGCAUAGGUGCAAAGCUCUCCGGCCAACUCCAGCCAAGCAAGGGACGCUGCUGGGGCUGCGCAUCCUCCUCUACAUCGUUACAAAAUGCCUGCAAGGGUGCCGCGGCAGCUUCACCUCCGACGAUGGCGACGGCCGUGACGAGAUCGAGAUGCAAGCUCGGAACGCGCUGGCCUUGCAGCAGUACUACCGGCAACAGUUGAGGCGGCCGGCGGCUGCAGCCACGAGCUCGUCGUUGCCGCGCGAUGAGUGGCAGAGCAAGCUGGUGAUCGCCGCCGGCUGCGAUCAUGUCUCCUUCAUCGCUCAGCCCUGUCCUCUUCGGACCAACGACGUCGUGGCUUGAUCUGUGUCACUCUCUUGUUCUUCAUCUGCGGAGACGGACGUACGGCAAUAAACCGCGUGAAGCUUGAUCCUCUCGUAGUGAGCUUUACGUAGCCGACUCUCUACCGUAAUGCGCUGCCGGACAUCAUCUUCUUAUUGAUGAUUGUAAAUAGACACGUUUCUCUAUUUUUGUAUUGCAAAUUAUGACGGGGAUCAAUAUAGUAUAUGUGAGGUUGAACCACACAAUAUAGUAUAUAUUUUGGAUUUUAAUGAAAAUAUAUAUAAUAACUUUUGAGAGGUA